Molecule: RNA transcript, 2422 nt
Organism: Oryza sativa Japonica Group (Japanese rice)
Lineage: Eukaryota; Viridiplantae; Streptophyta; Magnoliopsida; Poales; Poaceae
Source: RefSeq, a predicted model, not a curated record
GAAACGGCCAUUGGGUCGCGCACGCUGGAGCCGCCGCGAGCCAUUCCCCCCGCGAACACGUUAAAACCCUUUUCCGGUGGCCGGUGUAACGCGCGCAUACGUCUGAUCUCGCAUGGCCACGGCGGAUGAGGUCGGCGGCGGCGGCGGCGGUGGUGGCGCCGGAGUUGGAGCGGGCGAUCAGGUGAGGAGGGCGAAGACGGCGGCGCUGUUCCUGGCGGCCGUCGCGCUCCCGUGCCUCGUGCUGUACCGCGCCGCCGUGUCGCCGGCGGGGCUGUUCCUCCGGCCGGCCGCCCUGCCGGCGCCGCCGCGCGGCGACGUCGACCCGGUGAACAGUGAGGACGCGAGGCUGGAACGCGUCCUGAGGGCGGCGGCGAUGGCGAACGGCACGGUGAUCCUGACGACGCUGAACUCGGCGUGGGCGGAGCCCGGGUCGGUGGUGGACGUCUUCCUCGAGAGCUUCCGGAUCGGCGACGAAACGAGGUGGCUCCUCGACCACCUCGUCAUGGUCUCCCUCGACCUCACGGCGCACCGCCGCUGCCUGCAGAUCCACCGCCACUGCUUCGCCCUCACCACCGACGAUGGCUUCGACUUCUCCGGCGAGAAGAACUUCAUGACCGACGGCUACCUCAAGAUGAUGUGGCGACGCAUCGAUUUCCUCGGCCACGUUCUUGCCAAGGGCUACAGCUUCAUCUUCACGGACACGGACAUCGUGUGGUUCAGGAACCCGCUGCCGCACCUGCACCACGACGGCGACUUCCAGAUCGCCUGCGACCACUUCACCGGCGACCCGGACGACCUCAGCAACAGCCCCAACGGCGGGUUCGCGUACGUGCGCUCGACCUCGGCGACGGCGGCGUUCUACCGGUACUGGUACGCGGCGAGGGAGAGGCACCCGGGUCUCCACGACCAGGACGUGCUCAACCUCAUCAAGCGCGACGCCUACGUCGCCCGCCUCGGCGUCAGGAUCAGGUUCCUCAGCACCGACCUCUUCGCCGGCCUCUGCGAGCACGGCCGGAAUCUGAGCACGGUGUGCACCAUGCACGCCAACUGCUGCGUCGGCCUCCGCCGGAAGGUCGACGACCUCGGGCUCAUGCUCCAGGACUGGAGGAGGUUCAUGGCGACGCCCGGGAGUGACCGGCAUUCUGUCACCUGGAGUGUGCCUAGGAAUUGCAGUAUGAAGAAACUGGGGCGGUAGGAGAUUGGAAAGAUUAAUUGUUUAAUUGCAAUGUGUUAGUUUAGAGCCAACACUUGCUGUUGUCUGUACCAUAGAUGAGAUGCUGACUGGAACAAAUGAACAUGCAGAAGCGUUGGAGCAAACGCUCUAACGGCGACGGGUAAGCCACAGAUCCGUUGAGGAGGUCGUGUCGUGUGCGCCACAGGCUUCACUUUCAGUGACCCCGUCGCCGUUGUCUUAAUGCAGGAAGAGGUUCCUUUUCUUCUCACUUCGCUUGUGUGAUUGAGUUGCUACUAGUACUACCUAUCAGUGAUUAAUCAUCCAAUCCAUAAUUUUGACAAGGGUCCAGUCUGUCAUGUGACGUAGGAUCGAUUUAUAUCGCAUCAGAUCUCCAACAAGUUGAACGCCACGACAUGUAUGCUGUACUAGUAUCGUCUGAUGUACUCCAUGCCAAUAUGUGAAGUACUACUCCGCAAUUUUGAAAAAAAAAUUGUCGCGAAUGAUAGUACAGAUUAAAAUGUUAAAUACUCUCGUUUUUUAAUACAUACCAUUGUUCGUCUUAUUAGAAUAUUUUUACGAAAUGCAUAAAAUAUAAAUCAUGUUUAAAGUACUUUCAAUAAAAAAAACUCACAACAAAAUAAAUAAUAAUUAAUUUAUUUUUUAAAAAUUAAGAUAAUAUAUGUUCAAAAGUCAAUGCUGUCAUGUAUUUAUAAAAGUGGGUUUAGUAAGAUACAAUAAAUGUGAGCAUUACAGAAAACUCUCCCAUCAUCCCAUCCGUCCAUGUGGUAACCGGUGGACUAUGGAACUAUAGAAAAGCAUCGGGCUGUGCGCAGCGCGUCCCUCUAUGCGAUUGAGCCAGAGCAGGUUCGCACUUACGGCACCGAGGGUCUAUUUGAGGAGCUUAAAAUUCUGAGAAAUAACUAAUUGGUUGUAAACUUUCGAGAAUCUGAAAAAAAAAGUUGGGUUUUUUUUCUACCUUAUGGCUUCUAAUUUAUGGCCUGUUCACUUUAAUAACAAAAAAAAACAUUACCAAAUUUUGGCAUUGCCAAAAUUUUGGUAUAGUUGUCAAAUUUUUGGCAGGAUUUUUUACAUAGUUAUCAAAUUUUGACAGCAAAUUAAAUGUAGCCUUUUUUUUUGACAACUUUACCAAAAUUUAGUAAUGUUGAAAAUGUCAUCAAAGUGAACAGGCCCUUAAAUUACACAACUAUAACUUUGUAGAAUAAAAAAUUAAACUGAUAAGAGAAUAUC